Molecule: ribosomal RNA, 253 nt
Filed under: uncultured bacterium
Lineage: Bacteria
Description: partial 16S ribosomal RNA
Rfam family: Bacterial small subunit ribosomal RNA
Source: RNAcentral
UACGAAGGGAGCUAGCGUUGUUCGGAAUUACUGGGCGUAAAGGGCGCGUAGGCGGCUUCGAUAGUCGGGUGUGAAAUGCCUGGGCUUAACCCAGGAAUGGCACUCGAAACUUCGAGGCUUGAGUGUGGGAGAGGAUAGUGGAAUUCCCAGUGUAGAGGUGAAAUUCGUAGAUAUUGGGAAGAACACCAGCGGCGAAGGCGGCUAUCUGGACCACAACUGACGCUGAGGCGCGAAAGCGUGGGGAGCAAACAGG